UGGCGUGUUUUGCAAGUAUUGCAGUCCAUCCAACUCUUCUUGCAAUUCUGUUAGCUGUUUUUUCUGCUUGAUUCAAUUUUGCUAUUUUUCUGGCCGCUAGUCGUUGUGCUUUCAAUUCUUGAGCAUAAAUCUUUCUUUUUCUUUUUUAGGGUUUUGAGCUACUUUAAUACUGAGGCCAAUUCUUUUUGUGCCGCACCAAGUAAAUCAUUUCUUGUGCUUGUUUCUAGUUGUGCUUGGUUUGUUGUCUCCGCCUCGGCUCUUUUUUCUCACUUCUUGUUCGUAGGUUAGCCUCAACUCUUUUUAAUUUCUCUAGGGUGUCUGUAUCGUCUUGAUCAGUAGGGACAAGUCUUCUCUCUUGCUCUCUGUCACCCUCAGUAGUUUCCUGCAAUGUAGUCUUCUUCUUCUUUGGUUGUGGCAUCGUGGGUUGUUUUGUGGCUGAGAAUAUGGUGGGCACCCUGUUGGUCUUAAAGGAACUUGAUACCAAACAGACUUGUGAGUGAAAAGAGAUUACACUAGAAAGUUCUAACAACCAAUUGGUCUCCCUUUACAACGGGAUAGGGCUCCCCUUUUACAGUGACCCAUGAGCCACUUUACAUUCCGAAAAUAUCCUUCCUAAACUAAUACAUUCCUAGGAUAUGCCAUACAAAAAGGUCAUUGGGGGUAACUCGUACAAUUCGAAUUCCUCCACGUGAUCAAAUUUCUCACGCCUCCAUCCUUCUAACCUCGAGACAUUACCUUCGCGCCAGACCAAACCUCCAGCCUCAUGUCUUCACCCUCGGCCUGAGACAGAUGUCCAACCUCGUGAUGCCUGAUUCGUCAUGCCACUCCAAGAACUUGUGACCUCGCGAUGUCUCCCUUCAAGUGUCGUUCCUGAGUAAAGAGUAAAAAGGUGAAAACUUGGUGCUUGAGACUGACUUCAAGCACUCGAGGGUUAGCUCAAUUGAAGUUUAGUCAUCAGCUUACAGUUGUCAGCUUGGAGUCCCUAAAGUAACAAAGAAGAUGCAAGGGUAUGAGUUUUACUAUCAGAAUAGUUUCCGUAACAUGUUGUGAGGUUAACUAAGUUUUAUUCUUUAGUAAGAACAUGCGAGGUUAGAGUUUUUACCCACGAACAAUGCUCGAGAGUGUUUAGUUUUUUACCAAUCCCCAACAUUUUGCUUCUUAAGUACUUCCAU
RNAcentral lists this long non-coding RNA (1172 nucleotides) under Setaria viridis. RNAcentral's name for it is "long non-coding RNA (SVIR_LNC004786)". The record is from RNAcentral. Lineage: Eukaryota; Viridiplantae; Streptophyta; Magnoliopsida; Poales; Poaceae.